GUCUUCAUAGUUUAAAGAAAACACUAGAUUGUGAAUCUAGCAAUAGAGAUCAAAAAUCCCUUAAAGACC
Molecule: transfer RNA, 69 nt
Filed under: Lepidophyma sylvaticum
Lineage: Eukaryota; Metazoa; Chordata; Lepidosauria; Squamata; Xantusiidae
Description: tRNA-His
Rfam family: tRNA
About the family: Transfer RNA (tRNA) molecules are approximately 80 nucleotides in length. Their secondary structure includes four short double-helical elements and three loops (D, anti-codon, and T loops).
Source: RNAcentral